GAACAGACCAGAUUCCAGAGACCAACAUCCUUGCAUCCUCCACAUCAGCUUUACAAAGGGCAAGCUCUGGGUUUUUCCCGUAGGUCUGACGCAUUCAUGCUGUUGCCUUGUCCUCUCUUGGAUUGCUUGCUCCAGAGAAAGGCAGGUGCCAUGUAGUGAGAACAUUCAAUCAGCCCUAUGGAAAGGGCCAUGUGGCGAAGCACUGAGGCCUCCUGCCACACUGAGGCCUUCUGCCAAAAGCCACAUGAGUGAGCCAUCCAGGAUGUGACUCUUCCAAUCCCAACUGAGACAUCAGAUGACCAAAGCCAAGCUCUUGACUGCAACCUUUGAGCAACUCUGAGUCACAGCAACCCAGCUAAGAUGCUACCAAAUGCCUGACCUGCAGAACCUGGGAAAUAAUAAAUGUUUGUUGUUUUA
RNAcentral lists this long non-coding RNA (417 nucleotides) under Homo sapiens (human). RNAcentral describes it as "non-protein coding lnc-OR8A1-1:1". Lineage: Eukaryota; Metazoa; Chordata; Mammalia; Primates; Hominidae. The record is from RNAcentral.